Molecule: ribosomal RNA, 466 nt
Filed under: uncultured bacterium
Lineage: Bacteria
Description: bacterial SSU rRNA
Rfam family: Bacterial small subunit ribosomal RNA
Source: RNAcentral
UAGGGAAUAUUGGACAAUGGGUGAGAGCCUGAUCCAGCCAUGCCGCGUGCAGGAAGAAGGCGUUAUGCGUUAUAAACUGCUUUUGCCAGGGGAUAAAAAGACCGUGCGCGGUUAAUUGAAGGUACCUGGUGAAUAAGCCACGGCUAACUACGUGCCAGCAGCCGCGGUAAUACGUAGGUGGCAAGCGUUGUCCGGAUUUAUUGGGUUUAAAGGGUGCGUAGGUGGCCCUGUAAGUCAGUGGUGAAAUAUCUCAGCUUAACUGAGAGGGUGCCAUUGAUACUGCAGGGCUUGAGUACAGAUGAGGUAGGCGGAAUUGACGGUGUAGCGGUGAAAUGCAUAGAUAUCGUCAAGAACACCGAUAGCGAAGGCAGCUUACCAAGCUGUAACUGACACUGAGGCACGAAAGUGUGGGGAUCAAACAGGAUUAGAUACCCCAGUAGUCCCUGAGCGGGCUGGCAAGGCGCAU